ACCACUCAUAAAUAAAUAAAUCAUGUAACACAACUUUAUCUUGUUUAAUGUGCCUAAGGAUGGAGAAAAAUAAAUAAAGAAAUAGAUUUGGUUCUGUUGGUGUUUUUCCACCAACAGAGCCCAUGCACUUGAUAUCUACCUUAGUUUUGCAAACAGGACAACACAUCAAGCAAUGUUUAUUAAUUCUGCAAGUGAAUGUUCUAUGAGCAUGCACACUGAGCAAGAUGCUCACACUGAGCAAGAUGCUGCCAGCUACCGUUAAAACUCUCCUUCAACCUGCUCGCCAAAUCAAAGAACAAAGGUGACAUCAUCAUCAAUGGAGGUAUGCAACUAGCAAGACCUCCAUCUCUCAAGAUGGAGAGAUACACAAGAGUGGACGAAGAAGACCUGUCGGUAAACAUUAAAUUUUACAUCAUUGCCAUAAGGUAAUUUGGUAGUUAUGUAAUUAAUUAGUAUUCCUAUCUACAUUAAUAAAUUUACCUUAAUAUUUUCAUCUGCAUAAAUAUAAAAGAAAAUAAUUCUUUAUUGUUUCAUUUACUGCAUCAUAAAAUAUUAAAAGCUCCACGGGAAUAAAUUUACGGUAACCUUCUAGGAAUAUUUACUGUGGUGACAUAAAGAAUAAUAAUAAUAGCUUCUUUAUUUACUUUCUUGCAUUAUGAAAAACCUAAGCCCCAUAAGAAUAAAUAUUCUCUAUGGAGGCAUAAUAAUACAACUAUAUAUCAUACACACAUAUUUAAUUAAACUAGAAAAUCCUAAAAAUAAAAAAAAGAGAACCCUGCUAGAAUCUAUCAAUUCAAAACAACUCAAAGAACAAUCAAUCACUUACUGGCUGAUCGCUAACCCAUUAUUAAAUUCGAGCCUCGAGUUUUGGUUUUCUUUUUGGAGUGUAAUUAUGCAGGAACAACAUUAUGACAAGGAGAGAGUCUACUAGUUGCUCCCACAUGGAGCGCUGCUAGUUAGCUCACUCUGAAGAUCAUCAACACCAACUAUUGCAAACAUCUAGCUUGGGGCGGGAGCAUCCCCUAGUUAUCAGGUAACUAUAGCUAGGCAAUUAUCGAGUCUAUUUUAUAUAGUCAUAAAAUACCAAAAAUAUGUGAGCACAUGAAGGUUCACAAUAUUAUCAUAAGAAAAUAUAAAAAUACCAAAAAUAUAUGGGCACAUGAAGGUCCAUGUCUUUAGAGUCUUCUGAGUCCAAUAGAAAUAAAUAAAAAACCAAACGAAAUACGUAUCAAUACAUUAAGGUGU
RNAcentral lists this long non-coding RNA (1245 nucleotides) under Sorghum bicolor (sorghum). Its description in RNAcentral is "long non-coding RNA (SBIC_LNC008819)". Lineage: Eukaryota; Viridiplantae; Streptophyta; Magnoliopsida; Poales; Poaceae. The record is from RNAcentral.